CCUACGGGUGGCAGCAGUGGGGAAUAUUGCACAAUGGGGGAAACCCUGAUGCAGCGACGCCGCGUGAGUGAAGAAGUAAUUCGUUACGUAAAGCCCUAUCUGCAGGGGAGCACAUGAUGGUACCUGAGUACGAAGCCCCGGCUAAAUACGAGCCAGCAGCCUCGGUAAUACGUAGGGGGCAAGCGUUAUCCGGGUUUACUGGGGGUAAAGGGAGCGUAGACGGUGCGAUAAGUCUGGAGGGAAAUGCCGCAGCUUAACCGCGGAGCUGCUUUGGAAACUGGCGACCUAGAGUGGGGGAGGGGUAAGCGGAAUUCCUAGUGUAGCGGUGAAAUGCGUAGAUAUUAGGAGGAACACCGGUGGCGAAGGCGGCUUACUGGACCGAAACUGACGUUGAGGCUCGAAAGCGUGGGGAGCAAACAGGAUUAGAUACCCCUGUAGUC
Molecule: ribosomal RNA, 440 nt
Filed under: uncultured bacterium
Lineage: Bacteria
Description: partial 16S ribosomal RNA
Rfam family: Bacterial small subunit ribosomal RNA
Source: RNAcentral